Molecule: ribosomal RNA, 399 nt
Filed under: uncultured bacterium
Lineage: Bacteria
Description: bacterial SSU rRNA
Rfam family: Bacterial small subunit ribosomal RNA
Source: RNAcentral
AACGAACGCUGGCGGCGUGGAUAAGACAUGCAAGUCGAACGGGAACUUCAGCUGUAGCAAUACAGUUGAAGUUUUAGUGGCGAACGGGUGCGUAACACGUGGGCAAUCUGCCGAGAAGUGGGGGAUAGCUCGCCGAAAGGCGAAUUAAUACCGCAUAUGAUCAGCUAAGACAUCUUAGCGACAUCAAAGCCGGGGCAACCUGGCGCUUUUUGAGGAGCCCGCGGCCUAUCAGCUAGUUGGUGAGGUAACGGCUCACCAAGGCUAUGACGGGUAGCUGGUCUGAGAGGACGACCAGUCACACUGGAACUGAGACACGGUCCAGACACCUACGGGUGCAGCAGUCGAGUAAUUUUUUCNCAAUGGGGCAACCUGAAGGAGCGACGCCGCGUGGAGGAUGAA